CCUUACUGCAUCUUUGGAGCUGAGAUCCCACCCAGGACACCAGAAUUACAUUUAGUUGCCAUCUCUCCUCUUCGCUGUGAGUUUCUCAUACAUUUCUUGUUUUUGAUGACCUUGACAGUUUUAAGAGUACUGGUAAAGUAUUUUGUAGGAUGCCCCACUAAUGGAAUUGUCUAAUUUUUUUUUUUUUUCUAAUUGGACUGGGGUUGUGGGUUUGGGGGAGGAAAACCACAGAAGUACAAUGCCAUUUUCAUCUGAUCAUAUGAAGGUUACAUGCCAUCAACAUGAUUUAUCACUGAGCUCAGGUCACGUAUUAACUUGGUGGCCUGUUUUUAAGUUUUCAGUUUCUAAGAUCCAGUAGCAAACCAAAAGUUGUUCCUUAAAAGUAGAGUAGUUACCCACAAUGACAGAGAUUUGCUUCAAAAUCCUAAGGGUUUGUACUGUGAUUCACCUAUGGUUGCUUGCCAAAAUUCUAAACAGUGUUUACUUAUCUUUUGGGAGAAAGGGCCUUGCUCUGUUGCCUAAGCUGGCGUGCAGGGGCAUGAUCAUAGCUCACUCUAACUUGAAUUCCUGGGCUCAAGGGAUCCUGCCUCAGCCUUGCAAGCAGUUAGGACAGACUACAACUACAGGUAUGCACUACCAUACCUGGCUAAUUACAUUUUUUUUUUUUUUUUUUUUUUUGUGGAGGUGGAGCUGGUCUCAAACUCCUGGGCUAAAGUGAUCCUCCCCCCUUGGCCUCCUAAAGUGCUGGGAUUACAGAUGUGAGCCACGGUGCGUGGCCUCUCAAUAACAUUUAAGUCGGCCAUUGACACUUUAAGUACCAUCAGAUCUGCUGGAUCAUAUGGCCCAAAUGGCAGAGCAACUUGCCCAAUAGCCUGGACCUGUUGUAGAGCCUUCUCUUCUCCUACUAGGUAUUGUGGUGUGUGUGUGUGUGUUUUUUUUUGGUUGUAUAAGGGGCCAAAUGCAACAACUUAUUCUUCAGCUUACAAGUGGUAUCUUGACAUGUCCUAUACUGGUCCCCUAGGAAUUUCAUGAGGUGGAGGGCCCCAGAUGUUUUGUGACACUUAUUUCCUGUCUUCAGACAUGUAAAUAUUUUACCAAUAUGUCUAGAGUAAUUGCUACUUCCUGCUCACCAUGAGUAAUCGGCAUAAUAUCAUCAAUGUAAUGGACCAGUACGAAGUUCUUUGGAAGGGGAAGACUAAAUUAUGACAUAGGGCUAAAAGGUUGAUAUAGCCCUGUAGUGGGACAGGAAGUUGUACAGUGGUCUUGCCAGUUGAAGGUAAAUUCCUUCUGAUGGUAUUUUCUAAUAGGUAUAGAGGGAAAAAGCAUGUGCCUGAUUAACAGCUGCAUACCAAGUACUAGGAGAUGUGUUGAUUUGCUCAAGUAAUGAAGCAUCUAAAUGGCAGUGCAACUGGAGUCACCAUGUAAUUAGGUUUAUAAGAAUCUAUUGUCAUUUUCCAAGAUCUAUUUCUGUUUUGCACAUGCCAAAUAGGCGAGGGGAAAAGAAAUGUAGUGGUUAUCACCACCUCUGCAACUUUCAAGUCUUUGACAGUGGCACUUAUCUUUACAAUCUCUCCAAGAAUGUGGCAUUGCUUUUAGUUUGCUAUUCUCAUAGGUAUAAGCAGUUCUAGUGGCUUCCACUUGGCCCUUCCCGUUACAAGUCUUUACAGGUCAGGGAACCAACAUGGGGAUUCUUCCAGCUGUUGAGCCUAUCUCUGUUUGUUUGUUUUUGAGACAGAGUCUUGCUCUGUCGCCCAGGCUGGAGUGCAAUG
RNAcentral lists this long non-coding RNA (1769 nucleotides) under Homo sapiens (human). RNAcentral describes it as "HSALNT0084771". Lineage: Eukaryota; Metazoa; Chordata; Mammalia; Primates; Hominidae. The record is from RNAcentral.